Long non-coding RNA from Oreochromis aureus, 410 nucleotides. NCBI's taxonomy places the organism in Eukaryota, Metazoa, Chordata, Actinopteri, Cichliformes, Cichlidae. The record is from Ensembl.
AAAAGGUUUCCUCUGAAAUGAGCAGAAGAUACUGAGAUUUGUAUUGAUAAGAGGUGAAAGGCUGAAAAUUCUGCUUAAAAUAGGUGAAUCAGCAGAAUUUCUACUGAAAAGAGGUAAAGAAGUAGAACGUUGCACUGAAAACAGGUGAAUCAGCAGAAUGUCUGCUAAAAAAGAGAUUUCUGUUGAAAACACCUGAAAAAGCUGGAAUUUGUGCUGAAAAGGGGUGAAAAAACUCACAAUUCUGCUGAAACGGGGUGAAGAAGAGGUGUUGGGCUGUUGAGAAGCGUUAAAUAAGUUGAACUGAUAUGUUUGGGUACAAAUACUAUGAUUUGGCAAUAAUACUGCGUUUUAGCACAACUCCUGAGAUUUGAUUGAAAUACUAUGAUUUAGAAGAAAUAUUAUGACUUUGU